RNAcentral lists this ribosomal RNA (253 nucleotides) under uncultured bacterium. Its description in RNAcentral is "partial 16S ribosomal RNA". It matches the Rfam family "Bacterial small subunit ribosomal RNA", at positions 524 to 776 of the family's 1533-position model. The record is from RNAcentral.
UACGGAGGGUGCAAGCGUUAUCCGGAUUCACUGGGUUUAAAGGGUGCGUAGGUGGGCAGGUAAGUCAGUGGUGAAAUCUCCGGGCUUAACUCGGAAACUGCCAUUGAUACUAUCUUUCUUGAAUACCGUGGAGGUCAGCGGAAUAUGUCAUGUAGCGGUGAAAUGCUUAGAUACGACAUAGAACACCAAUUGCGAAGGCAGCUGGCUACACGAAUAUUGACACUGAUGCACGAAAGCGUGGGGAUCAAACAGG